RNAcentral lists this ribosomal RNA (460 nucleotides) under uncultured bacterium. RNAcentral's name for it is "partial 16S ribosomal RNA". It matches the Rfam family "Bacterial small subunit ribosomal RNA", at positions 338 to 795 of the family's 1533-position model. The record is from RNAcentral.
CCUACGGGUGGCUGCAGUGAGGAAUAUUGGUCAAUGGGCGCGAGCCUGAACCAGCCAAGUAGCGUGAAGGAUGACUGCCCUACGGGUUGUAAACUUCUUUUAUAAAGGAAUAAAGUGAGGCACGUGUGCCUUUUUGUAUGUACUUUAUGAAUAAGGAUCGGCUAACUCCGUGCCAGCAGCCGCGGUAAUACGGAGGAUCCGAGCGUUAUCCGGAUUUAUUGGGUUUAAAGGGAGCGUAGAUGGGUUGUUAAGUCAGUUGUGAAAGUUUGCGGCUCAACCGUAAAAUUGCAAUUGAUACUGGCAGUCUUGAGUACAGUUGAGGUAGGCGGAAUUCGUGGUGUAGCGGUGAAAUGCAUAGAUAUCACGCAGAACUCCGAUUGCGAAGGCAGCUUACUAAACUAUAACUGACACUGAAGCACGAAAGCGUGGGGAUCAAACAGGAUUAGAUACCCGUGUAGUC